GAUGAACGCUGGCGGCGUGCUUAACACAUGCAAGUCGAACGAAACACCUUAUUUGAUUUUCUUCGGAACUGAAGAUUUGGUGAUUGAGUGGCGGACGGGUGAGUAACGCGUGGGUAACCUGCCCUGUACAGGGGGAUAACAGUCAGAAAUGACUGCUAAUACCGCAUAAGACCCCAGCACCGCCUGGUGCAGGGGUAAAAACUCCGGUGGUACAGGAUGGACCCGCGCCUGAUUAGCUGGUUGGUGAGGUAACGGCUCACCAAGGCGACGAUCAGUAGCCGGCGUGAGAGAGGGAACGGCCACAUUGGGACGGAGACAGGGCCCAAACUCCGACGAGAGGCAGCAGUGGGGAAUAGUGCACAAUGGGGGAAACCGUGAUGCAGCGACGCCGCGUGAGGGAAGAAGUAUUGCGGUAUGUAAAGCUCUAUCAGCAGGGGAGAAAGUGACGGGACCUGACUAAGAAGCCCCGGCUAACGACG
This 479-nucleotide ribosomal RNA is filed under the name uncultured bacterium. RNAcentral describes it as "partial 16S ribosomal RNA". It matches the Rfam family "Bacterial small subunit ribosomal RNA", at positions 28 to 505 of the family's 1533-position model. The record is from RNAcentral.